This 498-nucleotide ribosomal RNA is filed under the name uncultured bacterium. RNAcentral's name for it is "partial 16S ribosomal RNA". It matches the Rfam family "Bacterial small subunit ribosomal RNA", at positions 28 to 507 of the family's 1533-position model. The record is from RNAcentral.
GACGAACGCUGGCGGCGUGCCUAAUACAUGCAAGUCGAGCGGACGAAUCGAAAGCUUGCUUUUGAUUCGUUAGCGGCGGACGGGUGAGUAACACGUGGGCAACCUGCCCUGUAGACGGGGAUAACACCGAGAAAUCGGUGCUAAUACCGGAUAACACGAAAUGUCGCAUGACGUUUCGUUGAAAGACGGCGCAAGCUGCCGCUACAGGAUGGGCCCGCGGCGCAUUAGCUAGUUGGUGAGGUAACGGCUCACCAAGGCGACGAUACGUAGCCGACCUGAGAGGGUGAUCGGCCACACUGGGACUGAGACACGGCCCAGACUCCUACGGGAGGCAGCAGUAGGGAAUCUUCCGCAAUGGACGAAAGUCUGACGGAGCAACGCCGCGUGAGCGAAGAAGGCCUUCGGGUCGUAAAGCUCUGUUGUUAGGGAAGAACAAGUAACGCAGUAACUGGCGUUACCGCGACGGUACCUAACGAGAAAGCCACGGCUAACUACGUG